This is a non-coding RNA of Neolamprologus brichardi, 371 nucleotides long. The record is from RefSeq and is a predicted model, not a curated record. Lineage: Eukaryota; Metazoa; Chordata; Actinopteri; Cichliformes; Cichlidae.
GAGGAACGAUCGGCUGGUUGGUGGCUGGUAGAGUUUGACGCUCUGACAUAACAAAGUUCCGGUGACGCUAACCGUGGCAAAGUGUUGGGAUCCGAACCCGCGAGGCUGCUUCACGUUGCCGAGAAGCGAACCAGUCCGUCCCAUCGACCCUGCUGCCUGGGUGUCUCACACCGCCGCCAUGACGGGGAGGCUCCUCCCACUAUACGGCGUGAACGAGGAGAACCACCUCAACAUCCACAGUGACAUGACCAUGGUUGUCAAGGCGAUGGCCAAUCCCGAGUCUGGCCUGGAGGUCCGAGACAGGAUGUGGCUGAAGAUCACCAUCCCCAACGCUUUCAUCGGUAAGAAGUCCGGCUCAUAUUUUGGUCUGA